ACACUGAUGGUGAAACGGUAUCAUGCUUGCCUUCCACCAAGCACGGUAGCAAGCGGCGCGGGUUCGACUCCCGCUCAGUGUA
Non-coding RNA from Cubamyces lactineus, 82 nucleotides. The record is from the annotation of a GenBank genome assembly. NCBI's taxonomy places the organism in Eukaryota, Fungi, Basidiomycota, Agaricomycetes, Polyporales, Polyporaceae.